GGCUUGGUAGCUCAGUUGGUAGAGCACUUGAUUGAAGCUCAAGGUGUCGGCAGUUCGAUUCUGCCCCAAGCCA
RNAcentral lists this transfer RNA (73 nucleotides) under Listeria monocytogenes. RNAcentral describes it as "tRNA-Phe". It matches the Rfam family "tRNA". From Rfam's summary of the family: Transfer RNA (tRNA) molecules are approximately 80 nucleotides in length. Their secondary structure includes four short double-helical elements and three loops (D, anti-codon, and T loops). Lineage: Bacteria; Bacillati; Bacillota; Bacilli; Caryophanales; Listeriaceae. The record is from RNAcentral.